GGUGGCUCAGUGGCAGAGCACUUGCCUCACAUGCAUGAGGCCCUGGGUUCGAUUCCUCAGCACCA
This 65-nucleotide transfer RNA is filed under the name Dipodomys ordii (Ord's kangaroo rat). It matches the Rfam family "tRNA". From Rfam's summary of the family: Transfer RNA (tRNA) molecules are approximately 80 nucleotides in length. The record is from Rfam by way of RNAcentral. Lineage: Eukaryota; Metazoa; Chordata; Mammalia; Rodentia; Heteromyidae.